GAUUGACCUCGGAUCAGGUAGGGAUACCCGCUGAACUUAAG
RNAcentral lists this ribosomal RNA (41 nucleotides) under Trapeliopsis glaucolepidea. RNAcentral describes it as "partial 28S ribosomal RNA". Lineage: Eukaryota; Fungi; Ascomycota; Lecanoromycetes; Trapeliales; Trapeliaceae. The record is from RNAcentral.